RNAcentral lists this long non-coding RNA (5769 nucleotides) under Glycine max (soybean). RNAcentral describes it as "long non-coding RNA (GMAX_LNC000252)". Lineage: Eukaryota; Viridiplantae; Streptophyta; Magnoliopsida; Fabales; Fabaceae. The record is from RNAcentral.
GGUUAUGAGCUGAAAAAUUCCUUGACUUUCAAUUAUGAUAGUCGUGGGCUAUCUUAUUUGUUGGUUGUGUUCAUUCAGCUUCCUAUAUUUGUUAUUGGUACAGGUUUGGUCACUUGGUUGAUCUAUAUGCUUGGAAUCCACAUUGUAGAUACUUGGAUGGAAUUGGUCCUCCAGGUUCUGGUAUGUACAAAUGCAACACCAUUGAUAAGAAUUAUAUGCUUCUAUGACUGAAAAAAAAAAGCAGAACAAAUGGAUUAAAUUAUUAAAACACCAAGUGGAAGUAUCACAAAUGGUUCCUAAAAUUUUAAAAACUACUGUUUUGUAGUUGCACUAAAUAGGACCAUUGCUUGCAUGACUUCACUCUUGUUCACUAAGCACAUCUUCCUUGAUACUUAUACCUUUUAUUCAGAUGUUCAUGCAAUUCUUUUAGGUGUUUUGUACAUAAAGAGAAUUGCUUAUGUGGAACAUUUGUAUUCUUCUAUAUACAUUUUUUAUUGUCAUAUUGCUUGUCUUUUCCUAUUGAACAUUAUUUAGUUUGCUUACUUAUUAAUAUCCUUCAUAGUUUACUCACUUUGGCCAUAUAAAUAAUAAUAAUAUCUUGUUUUGAACCGUACACAAGGUGGUCCGUUAUUUUAUUCCUUUAGCUUAGCCAUGAAAAAUCAAGGUUCACGUUUGAUAUUAAUCUCUUCUGACUUUGCUCCUUAAUUUUUUUAUCAGUUUUUGUAAAAUAAUUUAUCUUUGUCCUACAAAUCCCAAUUUAAAAUUGAUGUAACUUUACAUAUGAAAGUGGAUCCCAAAAUGAUUAAGUAGUGAUUGGAUUUUGGCAUGUGUAUGAUGCGUUUUAAAUUACUUUAAGAUGGCUUCAUUCACAUUGGAAGAAAGGGAUGUGUCAAAAUUAAUUAAGACAUCUGUUAUUAGUAUACUACAGGACAAGUAGAGAGAUAAGUGCUUUUUAUGCUAACAUUGUUGGAGUACAAGUGUGAGGUGAAGUCCCACAUUGGGUAGAAGUAGAAAAGUUGAGUACCAUAUAAAUGAGAAGAAGACCCAUAAACCUGAGUUCCCUUAUGUGAUGACUCGUGGUCCACCGGUGUGAAUCUCCCUGGUGUUUACUCCCCUCAAAUCUCCCCAACAACUGGUAUCAGAGCCGAUAAGCAUCAUUUCCAAUUCGGCUACAAACCAAAACUAAAGAUAUUAUUUAUAAUGAGAUUCUUCUUAACAACUUUUUUAAUGUCCUUCUUAAUUUCCCUCUCCCCUUUUACAUAGAAAUAAAAACCAUGAAAUCUACUCGUGUGUUUCUCGUCGCCUUUGUACGUGUCCAGACUACUUUACCUUGAUUUUCUGCUUUCCCCCCCUUAAAUUAGUGCAAUAUCAAUAUUAUAUGAUAAAACUUGCUCUUGAGCUUUGAUAGGUACUAUGCAACCACAAAUAACCUCAAAUACUUUUCUCCAUUUUUGUUAUCCUGUUUAUAUCUUCUGUGUGACAUCUUUAUUAAUUUCCUCGUCAUUUUGUAGUAUUGAUCCCAAAUAUUUAAACUAAGAAACUGGUGGCAUGACAUCUCCCAAUUUUACUUCAAGUCAUAUUCCUCUUGCCUCUUACAAAAAUUGCAAUAAUAUACUUUGUUUUACUCCUACUUAAGCGAGAAUCCUUUGUUUUUAAAGUUUUCUUCAAAGCUCAAGUUUAAAGUUAACAACUUUCCUUAAUUCAAAACUAUAUCAUCCACAAAAAACAUGCAAUCAGGGAUAAUCUUUUGUAUGUCCCUAGUAAGCACACCCAAGACUAAAUUAAAGAAAUAAGGACUUAAGGUUGAGCCUUGGUGUACGCCUACCCCUGUCGAGAAGUUCUUAGUCUCGUCUCCUGGAGUUAUCACACUAGUAGUUUCCCUAUCAUGCCUGACUUAUAUAGUUCAGAUGUAAGUCACAGAAACACCUUUCUUUUCCAAAGUCUUUCUAUUUGUGACCUUGAACUCCCUUCUUAAGUGAUUUAAUGUUCCUCCUCCUUCUUGAAACAAGUGUUCAUAAUCCUAAAAUCGUAAGUAAUAGAGAAAUCAAGAAUAAACUGUCAUUCCUUAUUUACUUCUCUAAAACUAGAACCACCAUGGGCUUCUAUAAAUUGCCUUGUCUCACUACGAAUAUGUUCUUUUAGAUCCCUUCCUGAGAAAAUCUUUUCUUCUUGGGGAGUUCCUUGAACCAAUCCCACCAAAUUUUCCCAAUACUUUUCUUUAUAAGUGCUUGUAAUCCUACUUGUGAUGCUUAAGUACUGAUGAUGUUGGUGGUCUCCUAUGCAACCAGUAAUUUUAAGGCUAACAUUGUGUCCAAUUCAUCUUGCAUCCCCUAGACUAUUUCUAAUACUUGUCUGCAAUAAUACCACACCAUUCUUUUCUCUAAUUUAAAUCCUAUAGUACCUAACUCCUUGGUCUCUUGUAGGCACAUAAUGUUACUCCUCCUUUGAAUUAUGGAUCUGCCACCUUCAUGAACUUACCUGUCAAAGUCCCAGUAUUCUAAGUAGCAAAAAGCUUUGAACUUCUUUAUCCACAUCCAUUCAAGAAAUUGUGAGGACUCUUGACCAUUUAACACUAUAUCCGAGCACUUUAUGUCCUGACUCUAAAUCAUUUGACUUUGUAUUCAAGCCAUACAAUGCCUUACUUAAUCGAGUAACUUUUGAAUUUAAUCUCUUAUGAGAAUCAUGAAUUAAGUUUAUGUUGGUAAAUUCUGUACAAGGAAUUGUUAAGACACUUUGUUGGUCAAUUAAAGCUCGUUUUGUGGUCAAAUGUGAUAUGAUAAGAUAAAAUAUAAGAGCAGUAUAAGAACUUUAAAAGAUAAAAGUAGGAUAAGCUUUAAUACUAUUCAAUGUUACACCAUCAUAUAGACUAGAUAACGAUAGGUGGUGGUUGUGUCGGCAACGAUAACCGUGAUAAUAGCGGUGACAAUAAUAAUAACGAUGGUGGUGGCGAUGAUGGUAUUGAUGGUGGUGAUAAUGGUGGCAAUGGCGAUAGCGGCGACAAUGAAGGCAACAACAAUGACGGUGGUGGUGGCGGCGACGAUGGUGGCGACAAUGGUAGGAGUGACAACGCCAGUGAUGGUGGUGUGAUGGUUGUCAUGGUGGAGAAGCGAUGAUGGUGGUGAAGAUGGUGAUGAUGGUGGUGGCGAUGAUGACAGUGAUAGUGAUGGGGUUGGUGAGGGCAACUAUCCUAUUCUGUUGCUCUCUAACCAAUUCACCCCCUCAGGAUAAGAAAUACACUGCAUCAUUAAGAUAGAGUAGGAAAUAGGGUAAGGAAAUCAUAUCCUACUAGUGCACCAAACAAUUUAUUACAACAGCCUAAGAUAGUUAUCCUAUCCUAUUAUACCAUAUUCUAACUACCAAACAACAAAAUUUCCAUUGCUUCAUAAGUUUUGAAUAGAAUGACAAUGCAUCUCUUUUUUAAAGAGUUAGAAAUCUGUAAGGAAAGACAUUUUCCCCAAGGCAAUUAAUUUUUUCUUUUAUGUAUUAUGACUUGCCGUGUUGUGGGUUAUAUAUAAUAUUGUUUUCAACCCCUUCAUUUUGUUGAUACUUGAUCACUUCUAAGUUAUAUUAUAGACUGACCCUUUUUCUGUUGUCAGCUAAUGAUUCAAGUGCGCAGAAUGACUGGAAAGGUGCUUGGUGGCAUAGCAGCUUCACAGUUCACUCAGGUGUCUGAUUCAUUUAUUUAUAGAUCAAAAAAUAAUAUGUCAUAUCAAUUAACUGUAGUUGGAGGCUGAAUCCAGACUGAAAUUUUGGUUGGUAGUGACAGGAAUCUCAAAACAAUAUUUUCUGAGCAGUAGUUAAAAUGUGUUUCCUUAUAUAUCUAUAUACUACUUAUGAAGUGAAUGGUUCGUAUAUGAGAUCAAAGCAUGCCUUGUACUAAGCUUCAUUUAUAAAUUUUGUUUUAAGAUAUGUCAACAUGACUUCAAAAUUUUUCAUAUAUGUUAGUGCCAGUUGCUUUCAAUUAUAUAUAAAUGGUGCCAUCUUGGAGGGUUAAUCCCCCACUAAGUGCCAAAAGUUCAGUGAUCCAUUAAAGGACAACCCGCUUUGUUUCUUAUGGCUUCUUGCCUUACAAUUUUUUUUUAAGAGUAAUUCAUUUUUCAUCCUCCAUAGUUUCAAGCCUUGUCACUUUAGUCUCUCAAUUAUUCAAGGUAUCAUCAAAUCGAUCCUUCUUUGAUGAUAUUUUGCUUGAUCAAGAGACUAAAUUGAUGAUAUUUUGUAUUGUUUAGGGACUAAUUGAUGUUUGAAAUAUUUGGAGUGUCAAAGUGAUGACUCUUAGCACUGUUGAGGGAUUAAUUUGAUGAUAAAAAUCUUGAGGAUCAAAUUGACGACACUUAUUUGCUUGGAGGACAAAAGUAGGGAUUUACUCUAUUUUUUUAUGUUAAAGCAUAUUUUGGAUUCUAUAUUUCUAGUGCAUGAGUGUUGUCAAAUACUGAGUCAUUGACUCAAUUAGGUGCGGAGUCACCGUUUCAAAAAGUAAUUGAUUUACUGGUUGAACCAUAUGUAUGUGUAAUUAAUCUGAUAAUAGGAACAUUAUAACUAACAUGGAGUUCUGGUGAAAUGGUUUAUGUUAAUUGAGCUGUUAAUUAUUAGGUUGUAGGUUAAAAUUAUUAGCUCAUAGAUUCAAAUUUUGUCUGGAACUUUACACUAAAUGUUUUACAAAACCAGUAAAAAUCAUUAACUUCAUACUAGUUCAUACUGGUUGCAACUUGCAACCUUGUGUAUGCAAUAUGAACAUCUGCCUCAAAUACAGUACCUUAAAUUUGAUCUCUCUGCUUUGUUUUGCACUGUCAUUUAGUUAGUUUGCAUUUUUAUUUUCUCAUAUUGGUACUCACAUGCUUCUCUGUAACAGGAUUCGUAGAGGAUGAGAGUCCAUAUGCAGAUAAUGGAAAAAAGGGCACAUACUUUUUUGAAUUCUCGAGGUCUUUGAGGACUAUGGAUCAUCUUCAACAGGUUGGAACUUAGAAAGUAAUUUGAUAUUCAUAAGUUUUAUAGGCUAAGAGUUUGCAUUGAUUUUUUCAGAUUUUUUUCCCAAUUAGCUGAAUUUUUUGUUCACAAGUUCUUUUUCGAUUAAUUUUUGGGAUCAUUUGUAAAUCUAAUGGAUUGUGGAUGAAAAAACAUAUGAAAUUAUUUAUCAAUUUUAAUCAAUGUUGGCGUAGAGUACCCCAAGUCAUGUGAUAAACAUUCCUUUUUAACUAGGUCUCUGUGUUGUUUGUUGUUGAAACAAGUUUGACUUUUGAACUUGUACUGGAUUGUUUGUAUUACCUUGUUUCCCAAUGCAAACUUGCCUUCUGAAUGUAUAUUUCUUAACCAUGGCCAAAAGCUUAAAACAAACAAGAUUGAGAUCACUAACUCUUUUUUCUUGUAUUUUGUUUGGGGUGGGGGCAUGGAUGAAAAAGAUCUUUUCAAAUAUAAUAAAUGUGAUUGUAGGGAUCUUCUGAAUCACGUGGUUUUUGUUUUAACAUGUGGUUAUUGUGUUUAUCUUUGAGUUUCUUCCUAUCCAGGGACUCAUCUUGUAGCUUGAAACUAAAUAUAUUUUUGUUUUAGUAGCAUUGUACCAAAUAGUAAAUAUAUUCCUGAAUAUCAUUUAUAAGAUAACAAGCAAGUAAAAUGAUGUAAAAUAAUACCUUGCAGGACGUGCAAUUUAACAUUGGUGGAUCCAGUAAGAUGUCUGUUGCAUUCUGGUAUCCAGUAGAUGGUCAACCUUGGCAUGGUUCUGGGCACUACUCUGUUUACUGUGAUUGGGUUCCCAUUGACAUAUCUGUUGGUAAA